RNAcentral lists this ribosomal RNA (632 nucleotides) under uncultured bacterium. Its description in RNAcentral is "bacterial SSU rRNA". It matches the Rfam family "Bacterial small subunit ribosomal RNA", at positions 554 to 1181 of the family's 1533-position model. The record is from RNAcentral.
CUGGGCGUAAGCGCGCGUAGGCGGGAAUUUAAGUCAGGAGUGAAAACUGAGGGCUCAACCCUCAGCCUGCUUCUGAAACUGGAUUUCUUGAGGGUAUGAGAGGAAAGCGGAAUUCCUAGUGUAGCGGUGAAAUGCGUAGAUAUUAGGAGGAACACCAGUGGCGAAGGCGGCUUUCUGGCAUACAACUGACGCUGAGGCGCGAAAGCGUGGGGAGCAAACGGGAUUAGAUACCCCGGUAGUCCACGCCGUAAACGAUGAGCACUAGGUGUAGGAGGUAUCGACCCCUUCUGUGCCGUAGUUAACACAAUAAAUGCUCCGCCUGGGGAGUACGGCCGCAAGGUUGAAACUCAAAGGAAUUGACGGGGGCCCGCACAAGCGGUGGAGUAUGUGGUUUAAUUCGACGCAACGCGAAGAACCUUACCAGGGCUUGACAUCCUCUGACGUCCAUGGAAACAUGGAGUUCAUGCUUCGGUAUGACAGAGAGACAGGUGGUGCAUGGUUGUCGUCAGCUCGUGUCGUGAGAUGUUGGGUUAAGUCCCGCAACGAGCGCAACCCUUAUCUUUAGUUGCCAUCAGGUAAUGCUGGGCACUCUGGAGAGACUGCCGGUGACAAACCGGAGGAAGGUGGGGAUG